GCACCAGUAGCUCAGAUGGAUAGAGCAGUGGCCUUCGAAGCCACGUGUCAGGGGUUCGAGUCCCUUCUGGUGCACCA
This 77-nucleotide transfer RNA is filed under the name Peptostreptococcaceae bacterium. Its description in RNAcentral is "tRNA-Arg". It matches the Rfam family "tRNA". From Rfam's summary of the family: Transfer RNA (tRNA) molecules are approximately 80 nucleotides in length. Lineage: Bacteria; Bacillati; Bacillota; Clostridia; Peptostreptococcales; Peptostreptococcaceae. The record is from RNAcentral.